Long non-coding RNA from Ochotona curzoniae (black-lipped pika), 482 nucleotides. RefSeq lists it as uncharacterized. The transcript has 2 exons. NCBI's taxonomy places the organism in Eukaryota, Metazoa, Chordata, Mammalia, Lagomorpha, Ochotonidae. The record is from RefSeq and is a predicted model, not a curated record.
GGCCGGGAGGAGCUUCCACAUGGGCCCUGCUGCCGGCCGACGCGACCGGCGCCAGCCCGCCUGCCAGCCGCCCGAGCUGCGGGGCGAGCGCUCCCGGGCCGCGCGAGCCUCUGUGCUGCCGGCGGGAUGCAGCGGGCGUGCGGCCAGGGCGCGGGGCCGCCACCUGCUGGGGAGCCAGGAACAGCGCUGUCUACAAGUUCACCAGAGCUGCUAUUUUACUACUUGGGGAAUGGGAAGUGAAAAUUGGACCCUGGAGGGUUUCUACACGCUUUCAUCACUUCUCUUUUAGAGAAUAUUAAAACAUCCAGUGUUAACUGGAGUAAAACUAUUACUAAGUACCAUCAGCAAGGAAAGUCUUGAGUUUGUUAGCAUUGUGACCUCCUGGAAGGAGAGAUGUUGAGGGUGUUGAGAACAGUGCUUUUCCAUGUGUCUGGUCUCUGAUCCAAGUUAUACGCACAAACAGAAGCUAUGAGCUUUCAGGG